GCCUUGAGUUCAAGACACAUGACUGACAAAAAUAAAGGGAUAUUCUAAAAUUGGAACAAUACAUAGAAGAUUAGGAUGGCCCCUGUGCAAGGAUGACACGCAAAUUCAUGAAGCCUUCCAUAUUUUU
Small nuclear RNA from Dipodomys ordii (Ord's kangaroo rat), 127 nucleotides. The record is from Ensembl. Lineage: Eukaryota; Metazoa; Chordata; Mammalia; Rodentia; Heteromyidae.